AACGAACGCUGGCGGCAGGCUUAACACAUGCAAGUCGAGCGCAUCCUUCGGGGUGAGCGGCAGACGGGUGAGUAACGCGUGGGAAUCUACCUUUUGCUACGGAAUAGCUCCGGGAAACUGGAAUUAAUACCGUAUGUGCCCUUAGGGGGAAAGAUUUAUCGGCAAGAGAUGAGCCCGCGUUGGAUUAGCUAGUUGGUGGGGUAAAGGCCUACCAAGGCGACGAUCCAUAGCUGGUCUGAGAGGAUGAUCAGCCACAUUGGGACUGAGACACGGCCCAAACUCCUACGGGAGGCAGCAGUGGGGAAUAUUGGACAAUGGGCGCAAGCCUGAUCCAGCCAUGCCGCGUGAGUGAUGAAGGCCUUAGGGUUGUAAAGCUCUUUCACCGGAGAAGAUAAUGACGGUAUCUGGAGAAGAAGCCCCGGCUAACUUCGUG
RNAcentral lists this ribosomal RNA (433 nucleotides) under uncultured bacterium. RNAcentral describes it as "partial 16S ribosomal RNA". It matches the Rfam family "Bacterial small subunit ribosomal RNA", at positions 29 to 507 of the family's 1533-position model. The record is from RNAcentral.